This 283-nucleotide long non-coding RNA is filed under the name Ictidomys tridecemlineatus (thirteen-lined ground squirrel). RNAcentral's name for it is "lncRNA (ENSSTOG00000033366.1)". Lineage: Eukaryota; Metazoa; Chordata; Mammalia; Rodentia; Sciuridae. The record is from RNAcentral.
GAAAAGUUUUCUCUGGUGAAUUGUUAAUAUUCCCUUCCUAUUCAUUUUCAGAGAAGGAUUGCUUCCCUUCUGGAACACCAGCACUGAACACCAAGGGGCCGGAAACACUAGCAAUAAUAAUGGAGGAAGAUGAGGAUGAUGGAGAGGUGGGUCUUUUACUGCCCCAGGACAUGACCACACAAGACCAGGCAUGGCAGAGCAGGGGGCUCAGUUGCCACAAACCUUCAGGGUCCUCAAAGGAAAGCCAACGGAGCAUCCUCUAGCUGUGCGGGGUGUCAACAAG